Molecule: small nucleolar RNA, 125 nt
Filed under: Octodon degus (degu)
Lineage: Eukaryota; Metazoa; Chordata; Mammalia; Rodentia; Octodontidae
Description: Small nucleolar RNA SNORA30/SNORA37 family (ENSODEG00000024815.1)
Source: RNAcentral
UUAAUUCAUGUUCAGGUCCUCCCUGGGCAGUGGGGCCAGGAUGUGGUAGCUGGUGCUGAGAGAAAGCCUUGUUUGACUCCUUGCCCUGGUACUACACCAGUGGCAGCUGUCACAGCGGGACAGAC